AAAAGAUCUAAUUUCUACAGUUUUCUCUCUUCUCUCUCUUAGAUAGAUACAACAUCCAUUAAAUACCAUUAGGGUUCUUGAAUAAUAGGCAUUUCAAGCUAUUUGAAGGUAUAAUUUAAGACAAAUUAAGGAGGAUAACCUUUACCUUGAAGAAUUCAAGUCUUAGCAAGUGGUAGUUAUGUCCAGCAAGGUAACUUACUGCAAUAGUCUCCCUCUUGUGCUUGAGUUAAUUAGGACACUUGGUAUGUGUUAGUGAGUUGGAAAUUAUUACUUUUACAUAGUAAAUUUUGGACAGUAUGUUCUGCUGAUUAGUGUAUGUUGGGACAGCUAUGGUGGGGAGUCCUCUUUAAAUUAAGCUAUGAGAUUUUUUGAGCACUUUAAAAGUCAUGUUAGCUCUUCAAGUGCUGGUGAUCAGAAACCAUGAUUCAUAUUGCUUCUAUUAUAUUAUUAUGUUCAAAGAUUGUUUUAUAUAUGUUAUGAUAAGAGAUAUAACUGGAAGUGCGAUGAGUUUUGGGGAGAACCUGAUACGAAGGUUGUAUAGUAUAUAGAAGUGAUUAAAGGGAUAGGGAAAGAAAGAAAACACUGGCUAGAUAGAUUGCAGCUUAUUGCUUUGUUACUAUUUAGGUGUUAUCAAGUGGUUCAAUUUGAUUGAUUAGCUACUAAUACUAGUCUUACAACUUAUUUUAUUGUAGAUUAGUGAUCAUAAGAGAAGUAUCUGAAGUAAUACAUUUUGAAUUGUAUAGCAGGGUAUGUAAGGCUAUUUGAUUUCCUAUUUCUUAGGCAUGAAUACAAAACAUGCAAUACAAAAAUAAGCUUUCUAAGUGCCCUUGGUAGCGACUGAUCCAUAGUUGCAGUUCCUACUCCCUAGAGCAUUGAAGUGUGUACUCUUAUGUGCGUCUUUACCCUACCAAGUGUUAUCAUGCACGAUUUAAACUUGUUUCAUUGUAAAAGUACCCCUAGCACGUACUUCCAUUAUAUUAGUCCAAGCGAUCCUAGAUGACACAUGGUACAUAUGUUAAUAAGAUGGAUAUACAAUCUGCCCAUAUCUUGCCAACUUGCUUCAAUUGCUUAAAGAUAUGUCAUCUUGUCACACGUUCAUAUGUUCCUUUUCUUGUUUUUACUCCCAUUGUGUUAGACAACAAGACUACCUCACAUGAUCACUACUUUCUCAAUUGUAUGUUUAUAUGUACUCACUUGAAAUAUAUAUCGGUCCUUAAGUUGAAUCUGCCCUAUGUCCCCCUUUGUUCCAUAUGCAUGAACAUCUCGUAUCUGUAGCAUAUAGAGUUCAAAUCUCUUGGCUGAAUGUUAAAUUGUCUUCACUGGAUGUGCUUCAGUAUGUGAUGUCAAAAUUCUUAUCGAGUCAUAUAAGCUCCUAAGUACUACGUUCAAGUCAUAUUUGCUUCCAAUGUCAUUAUUAUUAUCAUAAGUCCAUAUUCAUAUGUCUUGUACUACUGGUUCGUAGUUCCAAAUCUAAAUAAGGGUUAUGACCACCAAAACAAUAAUCAUAGACAAGUUCUAAACAUCUAAAAGUACAAUCUCAAACGAGUUAUGAUUAUCUAAAGAACAAUCCCAAGAGAGUUAUGAACUAAUAAACAAAACUCCCAAAUAUGAAAGACUCUAAGUGAAGUAAUCAGUAUAAUUACGGGUGGCAUCUCAGGGGCAAAAUCCUAGGAUGGGCCGAUCUCGAUUGAUAUGGAAGAGUGGAAACUCAGGGGCGAAAACCUAGCAUGGGCCAAUCCUAAUUUUUAGAAUUAUGAGGAUAGCAUCCCUGGGGUUAAAAUGCGUAGCAUGGGUCAUCCUCUUCUACCGCUGAUCAGCUGUGAUUUGUAUCAUAUGUUGUAUAAAGAUUAUAAAGUACAGAAAAGCAAAGAAAAGAAUGUAACAUGCACGAUUCCACAAGUACAAAGAAAAGGUUGUCUCUAACCCUUAUCUAUUGGUAUUUGGUUUUACUUGACCUCUCAUGUUACAUAUGGUUGUAUUAUGUCUUACAUAUUCAGUACAUUCUUUCGUACGUAAGUCCCUUAUUGGGGACGCUGCAUUUCACGCUGCACGUACAAGUACUCAACUUGUAGAUUUUUCCAAUAGAAGCACAUUGUACUCAACGAAUCUUGGUGAGCUCCAGGUUGAUUCGGGGCUUUGUCGAUUCUUUACUAUUCAUAUUUUCAUAGUGAUACCAUCACGGAUUCCAGUAGAGGCUUUGUAGACAUUGUAAAGUUAUCAUCUGUAUUCAUAAUUUCUCUCGUCACAUAUAGAGGUUCAGCUAGUCAAAAUGUGUCGUAUACGAAGCUUCAUUAGUAAUUUGCAUUGUAGUUUACUUUCUUAUCGUAGAAAGUAAAACAUGUAUUCAUGAGGUACUUGUCCGCCUCACCUAGGGUUGGGGGUGACAUAAUGAGUCUUUAAUGAACUAAUAUAUGUAGUGACUUAAAGUUAAGAAAGCAUGUUAAAUGAAUAAGUACUUACCAAUAGUAGUUAAGGGUUGUCUAGUUAAGGUGUGAAGGGGCCAUAGGAAUGCUCACUUCGUAUCUUACUUAGAAAAGUCUUAAGAAUGACUCUAGUUGGGGAAGAUAUUGAUUUUGUGCACAUGAUCUAAGUCUUAGGUAGUCUUAGGGAUUAUUUAGGUAGUCUUGUAGAGGUCAAAUAUGUACGUUAUCUUCUUGAUUUACUUAAGUAUUUUAAUAGACUUUGGAAAGAGAAUGUCAUAUUGUCUAUUUGUUGAUGUAUUAUGAGUCUGUGUUGAUCUCAUUUAAGGUGGUCUUAAGUAUAAUUUAGGUGUGCCUAGAGAUGUUGUAUGGGCAGUCUCUCUUUGUAUUAUUUUAGUGAGUCUUAGGAUAGCUUUUAGUGAGGGAAUGACAUGCUAGAUAGUGCGUAAGAAGAGGUCAAGAAAAUUCAUUAUAAUAGUAAAGAAGUUCACUGUACAUUGAAGUGAUUCAAUGUUAUGUUUCCAGAAAAUGCAUUAAAUUGAUUAAAUGAUUUCUUAUACGUUUCUAAGGUAUUAAAUGUUAUUCAUGUCAUUAUGAUAUGAUAUUUAAAAGGAAAUGAUUCACAUUUCUAAUAAAUGUUUGUUUACAUGAUUUUAUGCAUUAUGUCAUAGUUAGUACAAGUGUUCGUACUAAUUCCAUUCAUUUUGUUAUCUCGAAUGGAAUAGGUGAAAGGUGAGAGGAUCGUGAAGGAGAGUUUGGAUUCUAGAGUCGUUCAAGCAAAUUUGAAGUAUGUCCUUAAUUGAUUAUUUCUAUAUGUUGAUGUAUGGGCCGUGUCCCAAGUAUUUUGUGUCUACGCUUUGAUGAGAUUGAGACUUAGUAAUAUUUCUUAUGACUUUUAUAUGAAAGCGUUUUUAAAGACUAUAGAAUGUUUAUGAAAGUUUUAAUUCCGCAAUACUUUUCAUAUGUUUUAUAUGCGAUGAACGAUAUGGAAGGGCUUCUACAAGACCUUCGAGAGGUCAAGUACGCUGGUUGCAUUCCGAGAAUGACAUAUCUUCUAGGGUGUGGUUUCGAGAUGUGAUAAGAUUGGUAUCGAUCAUAGGGUAUGAAAGUUGUCUUAGGAAUCAAAAAGACUUAUCAAGUCACUUCUAGUAGAGUGCUGACCAUCAGUGUCUGUCAUUACACAUAUAUGGGCGAGAGUCUAUAAGACGAUACAAUUUUCUUUCUUUUCUACUCCUAAUUCGUGUCGUAGAGUAAAAGUUAUUUUUACUCUUUUCUAAUGGUUUUCCUUGUGUUUCUACGAAGAUGAAUACGAGAAAGAUACCGUCUAGGAGAGUUGAGAAGAAUGAUAAGCAUAAGGAGAUUUCUCCUAGAGUUGAGCAAGUUCCUCAAGGUGUUCAAGUUGCCCAAGUACCUCCCCAAGGUGAUCAAGUCCCUAAUGUGGAAGGAGGUAAUGAUUUUCCGGUGGUUCCCCCGGAGUUGAGUAAUAGUGAUAUUAGAGAGGCUUUGCUUGCCUUAGCCCGAGACAUAACUACUCAAGCGAAUUUGAAUAUGGUGCCUAGGGUGAAUGUUGAGAGAGAACUAUUACGUCUAGGUUGAGAGACUUUGUGAGGAUGAAUCCUCCUAUCUUUCAAGGCUCUAAGGUGGGAGAGGAUUCCUAAGAGUUUCUAGAUGGUGUAUACAAGGUGUUGAGUUUUAUGGGGGUUAUGUUAAGGGAGAAGGCGGAGUUAGGUUCGUAUCAAUUAAAGGAUGUUUCUCAAGUGUUGUACACUGAAUGGAUGGAUUAGGCCGGUAGAGUCGGGUCCUAUUGACUGGGAAGAAUUUGAGGAAGCUUUUCUUGGAAAGUACUUUCCCUGUGAGAGGAGGGAAGUUUAUGUAGAAGAGUUUAUCAAUCUCAAGCAAGACAAUAUGAGUGUUGAGGAAUACUCUUUUAAGUUCGCAAUGUUAUCUAGAUUGUCCCAUCACUUGUAUCUAAUACAAGGGAUGAUAUGAGUAGAUUUGUGAUUGGUGUCGCCGAUCUAGUGAGGAAAGAAUGUCGUACGACCAUGUGACAUGAUGAUAUGACGUUACCUAGACUCAUGCAGUAUACACAAUCAAUAGAAGAGUCUAAACUUGGGAGGAUUUCUAGGAAUUUGAAAAGAAGUGAUUCAAGUAAUCAAGGUCAACUUAGAUUCAAGAAUAGGGCUCAAGGUCAAAAAGAACCUAGGAGUGCUAAGGUGAAAUUAGAGAAAGGAGGUGGUUCUCAAAAUGGAAAACCUACACGUGACACUUGUGAAAAUAAGCACUAUGGGGAAUGCUUAAGGGGUACCGUGAGUUGCUUUGGUUGUGUUAAAGAAGGACAUCAGUUGGGAGUUUGUCCUACUAUUGAGGCUAGAGAAAGAAAGGGUAAACAAGUUUCUCCCAAUGUUCCAAAGGAUGAUGCUCCAAAUAACAGGUGUUCCUAUGCACUCUGGACUAUAAAGAUCAAAGACGGAUGAGGAUGAGGAAUGAUGGUAAGUUUUUGUGUUUCUUUAGUGAUAUGAGUUCCUUAUAAGUGGGGGAGUAUGGGGAGUAAAGGAGUUUUGAUUUGUUGUUUCAUCUUUUCUAUUCAACUCAAGCUGUAGAGUAGAAAGUCAUAGAAGUAUGUUGCAUGUUGCAUUGUUGUUAGGGGUCUUGCUGAAAUUGAAUUUCAUUGAUUCCUUGCAUUGUGCAUUUGAUGAAGUUAUGAUUAUGUUGUAAGGUGUAUUUAUGUGGUUAUACAUUGUAUAUUAGCAUGUUUCUAUCAUGAAUUGCUUAAAAGUUGCACUUUUUGAAAUAUUUGCAUUAUUCGUUGUAGCUUGAAAGUUCACUUUGAGAAUUUCGUAAAUUUGACUAAUUUAUUUUUUGGUCUAAAAUUGUUGUAGUAUGGUUAGAACUGAUUUAUAUGAGAAUUAUAUUGAUUAUAAAAUGAGGUUUUACUAUUUGGAAUGAAGGAUGUGAGUUUUAUAACAUAAUGAGUUGUAGAUUUGUUUCUAGUUUCAUGUUGGUGUUGUGAUGCUCUUGAUUUUGUGAAAUUGAUGUUUUCUUGAUGUUUGAAUUGUAUAUGAUGUUAUAUGGUAUGGUCAUGAUCUGUUAAGUUGAAUCUCUUUCUUGAAAAUGUUCGGAGAGUGGUUAAGUUUCAUUCGAGGAUGAAUAUUGUCCAAGUGUGGGAGAAUGUAAGAUCUCGAAAAUGGCUUAGGUGAAGCUAGAGCCUUACAUAGUUGUAAUGAUGGUCUAAGUUCCUAAAGUUAUCUUUAAUGUGGUAUUUAGGUAGUGUCUAAAGUUUUUCUUGCAUUUUAAGUCAAACGUCAAGGGACGACUAAGACGUUCGACGACUAAGUAACCUGUGUGCCUCAUAUGCAAUUAUCUACCUAAUUAUGUGUUUCAUUAGUUAAUUAAGGCUCUUUAAUGAAUUAUUAUGGUGUUUAUUGCCAGUGUGUCAAGUUUCGUGAAUUUUGGAGGUCAAAAAUCCAAGAACGUCCAUGACUUUCAAAAGACUUGCCCUGAAAUGACCUUAUGUGUCUAUGCAUGUUUUGUUGAGUUUUACGUGUUCGUUUUGGAUGAAAUGGAUGUGGUAGGUCCUAAACUUGUAUACGAGCAUGUUUGGGUUGCAAACGCGGUGAAAAUAUCCCCAAGGACCAUCCAAGGGUCCUUGAGGAAGGACCCACGUUGGUGGCCAGGACUGCCCAAGACUGCCCAAACCACGGAGGUAAUCAAUGCCCAGUAGGUCAGUCGACUCCCCUUAGGUGAGGUAUCGUAGAUGAACACAUAGGCAUGGGGAAGGAGAGGCCAAAGACCAGCCUUAGUCCCAGACCACAGACCAGCAAGACAGUAUGUUGGUCAAGGGACGGGCCUAAAUUCGCCCCACAAUCAAAUAAGAUUUAGGGAGGUUACUUAGGGGUGUUUUGGGUAUUUUAAAUAUGUUUAUAAGUCUAAAAUACUUAGAAGAUUUCAUUCUUUAAAAUCAAAACCGAAAAACCCUUCGAAAUUCUAUAGAACUCCAUUGGAGCAAAAACUCAAGGAAGGGCUUAGAUUGGAGAAUUGAGUGGAGAUUCUUCAUCAAAUUGGAGGAUUAUCUUUAUUGAGGUAAGAUUUUUUAUCCUUUAAACUCUAUUCAUCAAGGAGACCACCUUUCAAACAAGUUUUCUAAUAUUUUCAAAGACGAAUUGUCCAAUUUUAUGAUCUAUCCACGGGUUCUUCUAUUAAAUAUUUUAAAACAUUUUAUAUUGAUUGAAUUGUUGUUAAUUAGAUGAUUUUAUUUCAAUUAACCUAUAAACCCAUGUAAUUGAUGAACACUAGCUUUUGACUACUUAAUGGGUUAAGUGGUUUAGACUUAAUGUGUAUGAAUUCUACUGUAGUUUUCUAUGGACAUUUGAUUAGUGUAAUAAUUAUGUUGAAUUGAUGUCUAUGUUGUGUUAGAUUUAUGAAUAUUUAUUUAAUUGACCUAGUUUCAUUGAUUAUUAUAGUUCUAUAUUGAAUUAUUGGUUAUGGUCAUGGGUAAGGGCCUUAUUGUAUUGAAUUGGAUGGUUUAACAUUGGAUUGAAGUGUUGAGGAUGAAAUGGUGGUACACUGUCCUAAUUCCGUUUAUUUUAUGUUAAUUAGACUUCAAUUAUGUUUUGAUUUGCAUGGUCCACUUAUGGUGGCGGUGUUAUGUGUUUUACUUUGUCACACCCCAACCCUAGGUGAGAUGGACAAGUACCCUAUGAAUACAUGCUUUACAAGUAACCUACGAUGAGAAAGUAAACUAUUAUGCAGAUUACUGAUGAAAAACUUUAUAUACAACACAUAUUGACUAAAUAACCCAUACAUGUGACAAGUAAAACUAUGAAUACAGGUGAUUGAUAGGUUUACAAUGUCUACAAAGCCUCUAUUGGAAUCCAUGCUAUGAAAAUACGCUUAGUAAAGACUCGGCAAAGCCCCGAUUCAACUUGGAGCUCACCAACAACAAUUGACUAUCAUGUGAUUCUAUUGGGGAGAUCUACUUUUGAAUACUUUUACCCCGAUGUAACACUCCAUAUUCUACGUGAACUAGUUCUAUGUAUAUGUCGCUUAAAAAUUUCCUUCUGGUAUAGUCAUAGACUCUGUUUUCUAUGCGACUGGUGACAAUAAAAUAUGUUUGAAGUUGUAAUUCCUCGUGCCUUUUAUGACAUAUACAAAUAAUUGUUUUCCGUGUGAAUGGUGAUAAUAGAAUAUGUUUGAAGUUGAAAUACCUCGUGCCUUUCAACACAUAUCCGAAAAAUGGAGUCUAUAACUAUACCACAAGGAAUUUUUAAUCGACAUAUAGAUAGAACUAGUUCACGUAGAAUACGGGGUGUUACAUCGGGGUAAAAGUUUUCAAAAAUCAGAUCUCCCCAAUAGAAGCACAUGAUACUCAGCUGUUGUUGGUGAUAUCCAGGUUGAUUCAGGGCUUUGCCGAGUCUUUACUAUGCAUAUUUUCAUAGCAUGGAUCUCAAUAGAGGUUUUGUAGAUAUUGUAAAGCUAUCAAUCAUCUGUAUUCAUAGUUUUACAUGUCAUAUGUAUUGGUUCAACUAGUCAACAUGUGUUGUAUAUAAAGCUUUUCAUCAGUAAUCUGCAUAAUAGUUUACUUUCUCAUCAUAGGUUACUUGUAAAACCUAUAUUCAUAGGGUACUAGUCCAUCUCACCUAGGGUUGGGGUGUGAUAAAAGUGGUAUCAAAGUCAUCCUAGGGAGUCUACAAAGAUGUGUCUAGUAGUGACUUAGUUAUGAAUGUGUUGCGCGCCACAUUUAUAAUCAGGGGGCUGCUUUGAAAUUUAGAAAAGUUACCUUCCUUCAUUAUACUGAUCGUGCGAUAAAGCGAAGUUAAGAACCCAAUUUCCAGUUGUACCAAAUCGUGCUAUUCAUAUUAAUUAUGGUUACGGUUAAUGGUUGUUAAGGUGUCAACAUGUGACAUACAAAAAAGACAUCAAAUUAACAAAAGUUUUACUAGAUUGAGCUCAUUUUAUUCGACUAUAUCAGUUGUAAAAGAUUUUAUGUUACUUGCAUCUAAAGUUAUAUCGGUAAAAUUUGCAUCAUGUUGGUUAAAAAAUGAUUUGUUACCUACUUACAUAUAUUUGUUGUAGCAUUUCCAGGCCUAUCUGCUUAGGAGGAUGUAAUAAGCUCUUGAGUUCUAUAUUUCUUCCAUACUUACAGGAUCUAUUCCUAUAAAGGACACUUGUUCUUAGUCUUUGAUAUUACAUCGCAUUGUCAGCGUUACAUAUGUUCUCAAAAUUGAUGUAGUUAAACUAGUUUCUCAAUUUGUAGGUGGAUGUACCAGUGAAAUAGUGUUACUAGAGAUACCCCUAAUUGGUUGGCAAGGUUCAAAUUAUAACCGUAUGUCAUACCAAGUAUGUUAAUGUUUGACAUUUAUAUGGUAUGUGCCAACAAACUCGAAUAAGUACUCAUGACAUUUGUAUUCCGUUCAUGGUUAUAAAACUUAUGAUAAGUGUUCCAAUUGCUGAAAAUGAUAUACGUAUGGCAGUUCAUAUUAUGAUCUAUGUUUUAGCUACAGAGAAUUGGUAUAUGUCUAAAGGUUAAGGUUAACAAAAGGAAAAUCGAUUUGUUAGACCUAUUUUGUAAUUAGUCAGGUUAUACAUAGUGGGAUCAGAGUGCAUGAAGCUACUAAUUUUGAUCAGAAGGUACUUGUUAGAGAGGAAGCAUGUGAGAAUGAAGUUGAGAGUUAGGAUAUGUCAAAUUCCCUACACAUAGGUGGAGUGAUAUGAUGAUAGUAUAGAGGAGUGAGAUAGGUGAAUGAAACAGUGAUUGCUAAUUGUAUGCGCCAAGAAAAUGUUAUUAAUUUUUUUCAACUCUAACGAGUUAUAAUGGUGCACCAUGGAACAACUUUGUAAACCUUUGUUAGAUAGAGAAGUUAGUUUAGUAUUAAUAGAAGUCCUGAUAACAGUAAGAAAAAGAAAGGUGAAUAGAAUGGUUACCUAGAUAGAAGAUACAUGGGACAAGUUUAUCCACAUCAUUAGUAUCAAAGAGAAGUAGAGCAUCAAGCACAUGUAUAGACUUCCAUCAAUAUGCAUGCACUAAUUUAUCAAUCAUAGUCUGGUUAAGUUAGAGGAAAAAUUGAUCAUAUGCUAGUUGUUAUUAUUUGCUAUAUUGCAUGAGAAAAGAGUAAGAGCACCCUUGUUUACUGUCAUAUGUUUUUGUAGGACCUUUCCCUACAUGUUAUUUAUUGCACUGGUUACUUUCCACAUGUCACUUGUCUAUAUUGUGUGGGUACUGCAGGCUAAAUGAUCAUAUUGUAUUGGAAAAAUUAGUGCUCGUGGGUUAUAUUAAUCACAUACCACUUGUUGACAUGUCAUUGCAUCAUAAACCAUAUGUCUUCACUUGCUCAUUUUUCAUGUGUACUCAUUUCCAUAUUAGUCGACCUAUAUAUGCGAUACAACACACUUGCUCAAUGUGAUUUGUGUUCCAUAGUUCAUUUUCUUGUAUGUUUACAUUCAAUAUAGUCUACAUGUAUUACCUUAUGUACUCAUGCAUCAUGUGAUCAUCUAAUCCAUCCUUACAUUCCAUAGAGUUUAUCCGCUCACACACUACCUUACAGCUCAUAUACACACAUACACCAUGUAUUCCUAUAUAUUAAUGCCCGUAUACCUUGUACACUCUCUUUUGGGCUCUUCUGCCAUUGUGUCAUGUCCAAUGUGAGUUAUUCAUCUGCAUACUAUGCCUCUUUGUGCUUACUGAUUUGAAAUCUGAAUAAAAUUCGUCAAAACAGUUCCUUUUAACAUUAUGUUGUGAAGAUUUUGACAAGAAAAUUGGGCAUAUAAUGCCCUAUUCAAAGGUAUGGCAUAAAACUUAAGAUUUUAUAUUAAAAGCUAGGCGAUCUUAUAAGAUGAGCCUCAAAAAAUGUUCAUGAGAUAAAGAUAAGGGAAACUACUUCCCCUAUAGGUUAGUCCCAUGAUUUUAUGUGUCCAUUCCAUAUACAAAAAAAUUGGGAGAUACUAUACUUAUUCUUGAUUGUUAAGGCCUAGAGGCUAAGCUCAAAAUAUGUAACCUCCAUUGAAGUAUUGGGGAAGGAAAAGAAUAUGACAUAAGAUACUUGGGGAUAGAAGAUGGUAGAGAUCCUCUGUAACCCUCCUCAUUCAAAACAUCAAUAGAAGAUGGUAGAGAUGCUACAUAACCCUCCUUAUUCAAAACAUCAAUAUAAUGACUAAGGUCAUGUGGUCCCCUUAUAUGAUCGUAAGUCCUACUAGCAUUUGUUCAUUUGAUAUGUCAUUUGCAUGUCUUCAGCUUAGUAGGUGUAUUGAAUUCUUCAUUUGUAUGAGUUCCAUUUGUGUAUAAUUAUCGUGCUUCAAAUCCCAUUAAGACGGACAGGCACCCGAUUCCCUAAAGGCCCUAUAGAACCAACUUUUAACAUGUUCUUACUAUGCAUAUAACUGUAACAAUUGUGACGAGUUCACAUAGGACACAGAGAUACCAACCAACAUAAGUAGAAUCAAAGUUUUGUACAAGACUUGGCUGUUGAGGCAAGAACUCCUUAAGACACAACUGAACUAUGUAUAUUCGUCUACAAAUCCUCUAAGAAGAUAGAAGACCUAGAGUAGGUUGGGAUAGACCCCGCCUUACCCUUAACUACGAUACAAUAUCAAAAAUAUAUUAACCAAAGACUUAGUAAUUUGAGACUAUACUAUCUUACGCUCAUAUUUCCUUGAUGGAGAUUUAAGAACUGAUCCACAUAGGCCUCUCGAAUCUGCAAUUGCAGAUAAUGAUCAAGGAAUGCCUUUUUGAACUCUUCCCAUGUAGCUGAAGGUGCAUUUGUUCCCCUAGAUUCUUCCAAGCUUCAUACCACAAUAUAGACACACCCUUUAAUCUCUGUAGCUAUCUCAAGUGCUUCUUUACCACUUACAUGCAUAAUAUCCAAAGUGCAUUUGAUCUGAUCUAUAAAGUCUUUACGGAUCUUCAUUAGGAUCUGACCUGGUUAAUUAUGGAGGGUCCAAGUUAAGAAAAUCAUGUAUCCACGUUCCAGCUGCUCUAUCACCAAGAGUACUUGCAGCAAGACCUUGUUGCCUUUGUCCAUGACUAGCAAUUAUACGAGUUAAUAGUUAGACUGCCUUCCUCAAAUCUUUCUCGGUAGCAUUAAUAGGGGGUUUAUGAGGUUCAGCUUCCCUCCUUAGUUGUUCAGGAGAUGAAAAAAUCAGGGAAGUCUGUGAUAGAGACUCAUCUUGAGCCCCACUUUGAACAACUUGACAUGGUGGUGGUUGGCUAGUCCCUUCUAUGGGCAGCCACAUCUACUCGCUUACCAAUACUUUUACUAUUUCUCGUAACCGGCAUAUUUGCUAUAGUAAAACAAUUUAGAAAUUAGAUAUGAUUCACCUAAAACAUAGGUUCUAUUGCACGAUCUAAGAAGUUAAAGAAAUGAGACAACUCCUACAUGUCCCACAUGUUUAUAGAUGUGGUGCACGACACAUCCAUAAGCAAGACUCUACACAGACACGACUUCAUAGACUCCCUAGGAUAUCCUGCUAUGAUACCACUUUUCUCACGCCUCAAAUCUCAUUAAGACGGAUAGGACCCCGAUGCCUUAAAGGCCCGGGAGAUCCAUGUUUAAUCUGUUCUUACUAUGCAUAUAACUGUAACAAUCGUGAUGAGUUCACAUAGGACGCAAUGAUCCCAGCCAACAUAUGUAGACUCAAAUGUUAUAUACAAGACUUGGUCAUUAAGGACACAAUUCCUUAAGAGACAACUCAACUAUGUACAUACGUCUACAAAGCCUCUAAGAAGAUAGAAUACCCAGAGUAGGUCCGGACAGACCUCGCCUUACCCUUAACUACGAUACAAUAUCAAAAACGAAUUUACAAAGGAAUCAGUAAAGCUCCGAAUCAACCUGGAGCUCACCAAAGGUUGCUUACUGUUGUGUGCUCCAACAAAGGAGGUCUACUAGGUGGAGUACUUGUGCCUGCAGCAUGAAAUUCACCGUGACGGACGUCAGUAAAAAAAUGUACUGAAUAUGUAAGGCAAAAACAUAUGUAAUACAAGGGCUCAACUGAAAUCAACUACCAACAUAUGAGUGCAUAGAUCAGGACAGAAGACCACCUUUAUUUACUCUUGUGAGAUCAUGUAAAUUACGCUCUUUCCUUUAUUUUUCUAUAUGUUAUAAUAUUUGUAGGGCAUGUGAUACAAGUGGCUAGCUGAUCAGUGGUAGAAGAGGAUGACCCAUUCUAGGCAUAUUAACCCUUGGGAUGCGGUCCUCAAAUUACACAAUUUCGGAUCGGCCCAUGCUAUGCUUUUGCCCCUGAGCUGCCACCCUUCUAUACCAAUAGGGAUCGACCCAUGCUAGGUUUUUGCUCCUGGUCUGCCACCCGUAAUAAUACAAAUUUCUUCACUUAGAUUCUUUAAUCUUUGAUAUUGUUUUUAUUAAUUCAAAACUCUUCUGGGAUUGGUCUUUGGAUACUCAUAACACUUUUGAGAUGUUGUUUUGGUGGUCAUAAUCAUAUUGGAGAUAUGGAAAUACGGACCAGUAGUAGAAGACAUGAAAAAUAAUACUUUGAAGCAGUAACAAUGACAUAAGGAGUUAUGUAACAUCAACACAUUACGUUAAGAGAUUAAUGACACAAUUUUGAAUUGUCUAGGAGAGGGAUUCACCAAACAUUCUUUUGCAAAUACCAUUUCUAUAAAAGCACAAGGGGGGACAAUUACACAAGAAUAGAGUAGUAAACAUAUAAUGAAGUAUUUCUAUAUAAUUCGGAUGGGGGGAUGGAUAUACUAGCUAUUUGGAGUCAGUACACUGCUAUUGUUUCUUUUACUAGGAAUAAAACUUAGGAGAUUCACUUCAUUGAUUUUAAAUACAGGUGUCAGAUUUCAUGCCAAGGAAUAUGGUAUUGAAUAACCUUACAUACUAUAUUUUCUGACCAAUACCACUAUCACGAUUCAGCCUUCCUUUUUGGGUGCUAAUCUACAACAUAAGUCAUGAUAGCAGCUAAUCACAUUAAGGUCCUCAAAAAUAGUUUCUAAAAUAUUUGACGGAAAGCAAGCCCAUACAACCCUUACACAACUGGUGAACCACCACAUUCCUCUACACAUUAAUACAACUUCAUACAUCCUCUCCCAAGAUACCUAAGCUGCCCUCAACAACAAUAUUAUAAGGCAACCAUUAUCAAUCUCAAAUCUUUCAACAUAACAGGGGAAUAUUGACUCAAGGAUUUAUCACAAUCCAUAACUUCUUGAUAAAUGGAUACAAAAUUCUCCACUCCAAACAUGUAUUAAAAGAGAGGAAAACAAAUGGGUUAUAGUCUUACCUUAAUUCUGGAAAUUUGUACUUUUAACUUGUACUUCAAGAAUUCAGACUCUCCUUCAAACUUUUACUUGAAAAUGAGACAAUACUCAAGAACCCUAAGGUGUGUUAGGGCCUAUUGUUGAAGCCAAGAGACCAAGAAAGAAACUUAAGGAAACUAAAAAUUUUGCAAGUUUUAAAUGGAGAAAAUGACUGGAUCUUUAUCCUUUGAAAGGGAGGUUCUAUGGCCGACUUUCUUGGCCAAUUUUGGGCCAUAUAUUGUCAAGUAGGUGACCCACCUACUUGGCCUUUUAACUUGGGCCUUUUUGGACUUUAUAUUAUUGGGCCUUGGCUGUCCAUUUUCCCUAUGUUCUUUUGUUCAACUUGGGACAGAUUAAUGCAAGUAAGUGAUACACAUUGGGCCAAUUACAUUGUAAAAAAAUUCCUAGUAAGUGAUGCACCUACUUAGUUUCACUUGAGCUUUAUCCAUAAUGGGCUAAUUGGCAGAUUUGGCUGCUGGGCUUUUUUUUAUUUAUUAAUUCAAUAGGUUUGGGCUUCAAGUGAGUCCAUUAAUAUAAGCCUAAAUUCAAACUUGGGCCCUUUAACUACAUUAUAGCUCAAGUAGGUGAUGCAGCUGCUAGCUCAAUUAAGACAAGCAAGAAGCUCAAAUAUUUUAUUUCAAUUUCUGAAUGUUAAUCCCUUUUCUUAAACCUAGCACUUAACUUUCACCUUUAGGCUCAAGUACCACCUUACUAUAUUUACUUAAAUACUUUCCGUCAGAUUUAACUUGCAAUACACAUGCUGAAACAUGAAAGAGAUUAGAUCACCUUGCAUGCUAGAUUAAAACAAUACUUAUCAUAUAAAAAACAUGAUCCCUCACCUACACUAUAAGUCUAUGUAAAGUAUAACAAGAAUAGAACUAGCAUAUAUAUAAUACAGACCGUUACAAUCAUCAGUGAAUUAUAUGGUCAAGAAAGGGGUUUAAUUUGUCAUUAUAUUAUUUUAUGAAACAUAUGUAUUGAAACUUCAUUCUAGACUUGUCUAUACAUGUUUUUGAUUAGUCUAUGGAUUGUGCAUAGUCUUUAUAAUGGCAACACUUACAAAUCUCCAAAUGAAAUUCCUAGGUUAACCAAACUAUAAGCUUCACCCAUCAUUCGAGGACAAAUGAUCAUAAGGAGGAAAGGAUGUAACACCCGAUAUUCUACGUGAACUAGUCCUAUGUAUAUGUCGCUUAAAAAUUUCCACGUUGUAUAGUUACGGACUCUGUUUCGUAUGUGAAUAGUGACAAUAGAAUAUGUUUGAAGUAGUAAUAAAUCGUUCCUUCCAACACACAUAGGAAUAAUUGAACAAAAAAAUUCACACUUGGGAUAGUAAAAGGUGGUAUUCGAUAUAAAAGUCAAAAUGGUCAAGUGUGUAUAUAGUACUACAGUCUUGUAAAGAAUUGAUGAUGGGGAAAAUGGUCCAAAAUAAUUAAGGUGCUUGCUUGACUAAAAUAUGCCAGUAGGUGACAAGUAGGGAUCACCUACUUAGAAUUAGUGGACUGCCUUUUAAGUGAAAAAGGGAAAGUAGGUGAUGCACCUACUUAGUAGUAGACUGAAUUUUAAGUUAAAAGGAGCAAGUAGGUGAUGCACCUACUUAGAAUUAGUGGACUUAAUUAUAAAGGAGCAAGUAGGUGAUACACCUACUCAGGGGAGAAAGCCUAGAAUUGGCCGAUCCCGAUUGGUAUGGAAGGGUGGCAGCUUCGGGGCAAAAGCCUAGCAUGGGCCGAUCCCAAUUGGUAUGGAAUGGUGGUAGCUCAGGGGCGAAAGACUAGCAUGGGCCGAUUCCAAUUUUUAGAAUUAUGAGGACAACAUCCCAGGGGUUAAAAUGUCUAGCAUGGGUCAUGAUCUUCUACCGCUGAUCAACUGUUCUUUGUAUCAUAUGUUCUAUAAAUAUUAUAAAGUACAGAAAAGUAAAGAAAAGAAUGUAACAUGCAUGAUUCCACAAGUACAAAGCAGAGGUUAUCUCUAAUACUUAUCUAUUAUAUUUUGUUUUCACUUGAUCUCUCAUGUAACAUAUGGUUAUAUUAUGCCUUACAUAUUCAAUACAUACUUUCGUGGUGACGUCCCUUAUUGGGGACGCUGCAUUUCAUGCUGGUGAGAUCCAGAUUGAUUCGGGGCUUUGCCGAGUCCUUAGGAUGCGUAUUUUCAUAUUGGUACAAUCAUGUAUUCCAAUAGACGCUUUGUAGACAUUGUGAAGUUAUCAUCUCUAUUCAUAGUUUCACUUGUCACAUAUAGCGGUUCAGCUAGUAAAAAUGUGUUGUGUAUGAAGCUUAAUCAUUAAGCUGCAUAGUAUUUUACUUUCUCAGCAUAGGGUUGGGGGCUGACCAAAGUGGUAUCAUAUUAGUUCGUCCUAGGGGGUCUACAAAGUCGUGUUCAGUAGACCCUUAGUUAUGAAUGUGUUGCGCGCCAUGUUUAUAACUAGGGGGCUUCUUGGACACUUAGGAAAUGUUACCUUCCUUCAUAAUCCUAUUCGUGCGAUAGAGCAAAGUUAAGAAUCCAAUUUCCAGUUGUACCGGAUCAUGCUAUAUAAACUAUUUUUAAGGUUAGUGGUUGUUAAUGUGUCAGCAUGUAACAUACAGAAAGGACCUUAAGUUACCAAAAGUUUGACUAGAUUGAGCUAAUUUUUUCCGUUCAUCUCACUCCACAAGGUAUGUUGGCUUUUAUGUUAUUUGCAUUAAAAUUUUCACGUUGGUUCAAAAAUGAUUUGUUACCUAGUUACAUAUAUUUGUUGUAGCAUUUCCAGAAACAUCUUCUUAGGAGGAUGUAACAAUCUCUUGAGUUCUGUACUUCCUCCAUGCUUAUAGGAUUUAUUCCUAUAGAGGAUAGUUGCUCUUAGUCUUUGAUAUACAUAAAAUUUUAAGUGUUACACAACUUCUCAAAAUUGAUGUAGUCAAACUAUUUUCAUUUAGUUCAAAGAAGAAGUGGCACAAUUUUAUAAGUGGAUCUAUCAUUGCAAUAGUUUUACUAUAAAUACCCCCAAUUGGAUGACAAAGGUUAUUCUCACCGUAUGUCCUCCCGAGUAUGUUAAUGAUAGGCCUUUAUAUGGUAUGGGCCAACAGCCCUGAAUAAGUACUUAUAACAGUUGUAUUCUUUUCAUUAUUAUAAAACUUAGGGAUAAGAGUCCCAAUUGCUUCAAAUGAUAUAUGUGUGGUGGUUCCUUUUAUGAUCUAUGUGUUGGCUAUAAUGAACUACUAUGUGCUUAAAGGGUAACGAUAACGAAAAUAAAAUUAACUGGUUACAACUAAGUUAUGAUUAGUUGGUUGAACAUAAUGGAAUCUAGUACAUGAAGCUGCUAGUUUUUAAAAAAAGUUACUUGUUAGAUAGGAAGCUUGUGAUAAUGAAGCUUAAAUUACACAGGCCGAAUAUAUACAGACAACUUCUCAUUAGAAAGAGAUGGAAUAUGUCAAAUUGCCUAAACAUAGGAGUAGGGGUGAUAUAAAGAUGCUAUAGAGGAGUGAGAUAGGAGGUUAUGAGAGACUGAUUGCUAAAGUGUAUGCGGUAAGAAAAUGUUAUCAACUCUUCAACGCUAACAUGUUAUAAUGGUGCACUUGGAACAAUUUUGUGAACAUUUGUCACACAUAGAGGUCAAUUUAGUAUCUAUUCAAGUUUUGAUAUUUAGUCUUGAUAGCAACAAGAAAAAAGGAGGUGAAUUUCAUGUUACCUAGAUAGAAGAUGAACCUACUUCAUCCACAUCAUUAGUAAAUAUAGAAGUAAAAAAAUAUACAUAUGUAUAGACUUCUAUCAAAUUGAAUAGAGAUAUUACCGGUUUCAUUUUAGAUAUGCCUACAGUAACUCAUCAGUCCUUGUCCAGUUAAGGGAAAUGAAAAAAAUUGAUCAUUUGCAUAUUUCUAGUUGUUCUUAUUUUCUAUCUUGCAUGGGAAAAGAGUCGGAGCACCCUCACUUGUUAUGAAAAAAGGUAAGAAAUCUUUUAGUAUGUCCAAACCUAUCUAGUUAAGCCCAAAUCGGCUUACUUUAAGACGUUAUGAAUCAUGAUAUAACUUUAUAGGUACCUGACAUUUACAUGUUAUUAGAGUUCAUAUUUCAUGGUGAGUUCAAGCUUCAUUAUUUAUUAUCUUUUUUGACCUUCAAGGGCAUCAGGCAUUGAGUGUGAUAUAACACAAGCUAGUCAUAAAGUCAAAAUAGACGUCGGCCUCCUACUCUAAAAGAUGAACUAUUUUUUUUGAUGAUUUUCUUUUUCUAUCUUGACCGUACUAUUUAUAUUGACCUAGACGGAAGCUCUGUUCCAAUAGCAGAACACUUAUUGGAGAGAGUACAUGGGAUAUCAAUUGUAUGUGUUUUGAGGUGAGCUAGGAAUAUGAGCAAAACUAUCCCACUUGUAACUUAAACCCUUAAGACAGUUUGUUUACCUUAGAAUGAUAGCGUGGUUCUAUAAUAUAUAUCGUAGUUUCCAAAGGUGAUUUUUUUAAUAUAAUUAUACAUGCUGCAUGUUCUAUAACUUAUCUAUUUGUAUGUCAUUUUCCAUUUGUGGUUUUCCUUUUCACAGGUUACCUAACGUCAUGGAAUGGCUACAUGCAAGAGUUGUCCGCUUCACAUCACCCUUGUUUAAUGAUGUUUUCAUAGGAACUUUUCCUUACAUGUUAUUUAUUGCACUGGUUACUUCCCACAUGCCACUUGUCCAUAUUGUACGGGUAAUGCAUGCUAAUUAAUCAUAUGACCAUUUCUACAUAUUUUGCAUACAAAGUUCCUACUUGCUCAAACACUUCAGGCUGUAUAGCUUUUCAGGCAAUGUCUUAUGUGCUGACUUACUCAUAUUUCAGAUUUGUGCUCAUUGACAUGUUAGUCUACUUAUCCAUGCAAUACAAUGCACUUGCUCAAUGUGAUUUAGGUUCUGUAGUUCAUUUUCUGAUAUGUCUACAUGUCAUAUCUACUACAUGUCUUAGCUUAUGUACUCAUGCAUUAUGUGAUCAUCUAGUCCAUUUGUACAUUCCCUAUAGUUCAUUCGCUCACACGAUACCCUAUAACUCAUAUGCACACGUACACCAUGUAUUUCUAUAGCUUAAUGAACGUAUACCUUGCGCUCUCCCUUUUGGGCUAGUCUACCUAUGUGCCAUGCCCAAUGUGACUUAUUCAUCCGUAUACUAUACCCCUCUCUAUGCUUAUUGAUUUCAGUUUUGAACAAUUUUGGAAUAUAUUUUCUUAUAUCAUCAUGUACUGAUAAUUUUGACCUGAAAAAGUUGGUCGUAUUUGUAAAUUUAAUCAACUAUAGAUAAAUAACUUAGCAUAAUACAAUAUUAGCAGGUGCGGCAUAAAACUUAGAUUUAUAUUUACAACUAUGCGUUCAUAAAGACUCCCCUCUGAAAAGCAUCAUGAAAUCAAAGAGAAAGGAAACUGUUGCCCCAAUAGCCUAUGAUUUUAUGUGUCCGUUCAUAUAUAAAAAAAUUGGGAGAAACUAUAGUUAUUCUUAAUUGUUAAGGCCCGGAAGCUAAGCUCAGAAUGUGUAACCAUAAGUAUUUGGGAAGGAAUAGAAUAUAACAUAAGAUACUUCAGAGUAGAACAUGGUAGAGAGAUACUAAGUAACCUCCCUCAUUCUAAACAUCAACAUAAGGAUCUAAGAUCAUGCGGUCCCCUUAUAUGAUCAUGAAUCCUACUAGAAUAUAUUCAUUUGUUGUGUCAUUUGCUGUGUCAUUUGUGUGUCUUGUAUUUAGGUAUAUUACAGUCCUUAUUUAUAUGAGUCCUACUUGUAUAUCUUUAGUGACUUACAUGGUAAAGAAG
This 19401-nucleotide long non-coding RNA is filed under the name Solanum lycopersicum (tomato). RNAcentral describes it as "long non-coding RNA (SLYC_LNC000179)". Lineage: Eukaryota; Viridiplantae; Streptophyta; Magnoliopsida; Solanales; Solanaceae. The record is from RNAcentral.